AGUCAGAGGAAUAUUACAGGGAUGGUGAUAUUCCGGAUAGGCCGGUGUAUACUAUGUUUCUAAUUGAGGUGAUGAAUCUUAAGUCACUAAUGUAGGGACACUAGAACAAGCAUACAGGUGCUUGUUAGAGAACAAAUACACUGAGCAUGACUAUUUAGUUGAACAGCCACAUGGUUCUAUGCUCGCCAGUGACAAGUUCAUUGCUACAGUUGUGUGAAGUACUCCUUGGACCUGAGGCAUCAUAGUUGCUUCACGUAUAGGUUGCUACCGUUUGACAGUGCUAAUAUUUAGACUCUAGACACGGGUCUAUGUUCGGUCUGAUUGGCUGCAGUGAUUUAUGUGAGGAGGCAUGUGAAUGCGCAAUAAGGAAUCCAAAACUCUCAAUGACGAUGGAGAAUAUCCUAUGCAAUCUAUCGGACUUGACUCGGAAAACCCCUGGCCAAGGUAUAUGGUAUGUGGAAAGAGUUUCUAACUGUGUUACCAUAUUGAGUUGAUUUCAGAUAUUCUAGUCAUAUGGUCGAAUGAUAAGGUUUGGCGAGUAACCAUAACCUUAGUUCGAUUGGGACUGUAUGUUGGAAGCAAUUAAUAACAUGGUAAUUGUAAGAGGUUCAUUCUUUAUCACCAUUCUGGAUUACCGUGUUAUACUGCUAGGUGUCACUCAUAGACGAUAAGAGAAUAUGAAUGAAUCGCAUUGAAUUGUUCUUAUUUAUUGAUUAGAAGAGUUCUAAUUAAAUAUCAAAGAGUUUGAUGUUGAGCUUCACUGCCGAAUGGUAAUGAACCUAUGCGGUAACACACAUUAGAAAUUGUGUACACCUGAAUUGUUUGGAUGAUAGUCGUUUAUUAAAGAGUUUAGUGUAAGCGAUGAAAAUAAAAAGAAGCUGCUUAAUUAAAUUAGAUUUAAUUAUUCAAUUCGGUUAUAACUGAUUGUCCUAAUUAGAUUAGGAUCUCAGAAUCAGUUUGAGAAUUAAGCGCAUGAUUUAAAUUUAUCUCUAAUUAGAUUAGGGAUAAUAUUUAAUCAUAAAAGAUAUUUAAAUGAGAUUUAAAUAUUUAUUAAGUAAUCUUAUUGGAUAAGAAUAAAAUUAGAUAAGAUCUAAUUAAAUACGGAGAGAUUAAUUUUUAUCUCUAAUUGGAUUAGAGAAUAAUUAAAUAUUCAUAAUAUCUUAUGAGAUAAGAUUUUUAGUAGAUUUGAUCUAAUUGUACAAGCAUGAAUUAAUAUUUAAUCGUUAAAUUUUAUUGGAGAGGGAGAAAAUCUUAUUAGAUAAGAUUUUAUGGAAUAAAAUUCUAUAUAUAUACAUUAUACAUGUAUAGAUUUAUGGACGUGUUUGGUUUGAAGUCGGAAUCGAAAUCAGAAUCGGAAUCAAAAUAAGCUGGAAUCAGAAUCGGAAUGACUCAUUACCUAAUUAUGUUUAGUUCAUCACCUGAAUCGAAAUCAGAAUAAAUCAUUCCAAUUGUCGGUGUUUGGUUCAGGUGGAUAUAAAAAACAUAAUCAAAUUAAUAUACUAACUUUAUCUUUAUAAUAUAUUAAUUAAAUUCAAAUUGAAAAUUAAAUAUUAAAAAUUUACAUCAAAAUUUUGAAAUAAUGUCAAAAUUUAAAUUAUUUUUUUUAAAAAAAUUAAACUUUGAAGUUGAGUGGAUAAUUCAAAAUAUGAAACUAAAUUUUGAUUUAUUCAAAUUCAAACUUAAAAUUACAAUUUAAAUUUAAAUUUGAAUCUAUAAGUUUUAAAUAAAAUUUGAAUAAAACUGUAUAUAAAUUAAAAUUUAAUUUAAAUUCAAAUUCAUAAGUUAGAUUCGAAAUACUUGAUUAAAUUUUAAUUUUUAAUUCAAGUUCAAAUUAAAAUUUAAAAUUAUAUAUUUAAUUUCUAAAUUUAAACUCAUAUUUUAAUUAAAAAAGUUGAAAAAAUAAAUUUAAUGCGAAUAAAUAUCCAUUCCGUCGGGAUUCAACUUCCAAUCCGGCCUCCUAGGCCGGAUUAAAAAAAGAGGUGAUUAUGGGAUUCUUAUUCCACUCGAAAAUCGGAAUCGGAAUGAGACUUUCGUCCGCUUACCAAACACCCACAAACAGAUUCGCCAAUUCCGAUUUCAAUUUCAAGAUAAAAAAAGAAGCGAACCAAAUAUAUGUUUACAAGUUAUGAAUGUGAAUUAAGAAAAAAAAAAAAAAAAAAGGAAAAAGAGCCGUACGGCGCUGUGCCGUAUAGAUUGGAGGUAGCUCAAUUAAGGCGCCAUGCGCCUUCUUAAUUAACUAGACUAGAUGCAUAUACAUAUAGAGAUGAAUCUCUCUCCCGUUUUCUCUUCCGCGUGUGUGUUCUUUUCCGAUUAAUUUCUCUAUUUUUUAUCAACUGGUGGAUCACGAGGGAUUGCUAGCACUAUCCAGAAGGUCUGUAACUCAUCCGGUUCGUGAGACGAAAAUUGAUCGGGUAUGCGUCGAUUCCGUGUGAAUACGAGUAGAGGCCGGAUAUGUACGCGGCUAAUCAAAACUUCUAUUUGUCAUAUUCAGUACUUUCAAUCAUACAAUAGAUCAAAAGAGCUUAACUGGUCCACGAUAAGAUCUCUAAACAUAAAGAGUUUUCGUUUAGAUUAAAUUUUUAUCCGCCGGCAACGGUUUGAUUUAUUAAUUUUUCGGUUUUCAUAUGUGAUAUGUAUUUGGCUUUCGAAAAAUUUUAAAAAUCUAAAAUUAUUUUUCGCUGUGUUUUUCUAAUGCGUCGGUUAAUUUCUAACA
This 2713-nucleotide long non-coding RNA is filed under the name Ananas comosus (pineapple). RNAcentral's name for it is "long non-coding RNA (ACOM_LNC042547)". The record is from RNAcentral. Lineage: Eukaryota; Viridiplantae; Streptophyta; Magnoliopsida; Poales; Bromeliaceae.